AUUAACAAUUUUUUUUUGUUCCUUUCCCUUUUCACAAAAUUGGUUAGUUGUUUUAAAGGGAAUGGAAAACUCAGUAGUGGGAACAAAAAGAACACUUUAAUGAUCAAAACAAAAAACCUUAGUUGGCUUGCCUUGGGUGCCACCUAGCUCCCUUAGUCUCAAUCAAUAUAUUUUGUUUUCUAAUUUGAGAUAGGUUUUAUUAUUCCAAGGCCACACUUUCCGCGUUGGAAGGAUAUAGGAAAUCAGAUUCUAGUAUAAUUUAAUUAUUAGAGUUCAUAGGGAUUAAAAAUGUUAUCUAAGCUUUGUAUUAAAAAAACAUUAACAUUUUUAAUUACGUAGCAGCUAAUACCAUUUUGAGUAGUUUAGUUUCUUGUUUGCCUAGAAUGAUGUGCCACGUGUGCGUCGAGGUCGAGUGGUAUGAAAUUAUAAUUCUAAAAUAUUUGCGAGUAGUUUUAUAUAAAUAUGAAACAUAGUAGUUUUAUAUGAUGUGAUGAUACAUAUAAUUUUGUGUGAAUUAGUGGACAAGAAUGAAUGUAGAUUAUAUUAAAGAGGAUGGUGAUAUUUGGACAAAAUGUUUGGUGAUGUGGAAGAAUCCUUUCAAGCCGAUUGGGAUUAUUGGGCCUAAAGAUCUAAUUAGAUUUCUUUUAAGAGAAAAUUACUUGUAUAUCUAUUUUAUUUUAUUCAUUUUUAUUUUUACUAGAGGCAACCUACGUGCAAUGCACGUUUUGUUUUAUUGUUCUUUUCUGAUUUUUAUUUAGGCUAAUUGGGUAUAAAAUCACGAUUUUUUUUUUUUAAAAAAAAACUAUUAAAUUAAAUUAGAAAGUGUCGAAUAAUAAUUUGAAAACAUCCUGUAAUACCCGGAAUUAAGAAAUGGAUUAGCAAAACCUUAACUAGAUAAUUAUGUAUAAUGGAGGAAUUAUAUUAUUAUAUAGUUCAAUAUAUGUGAUUUUAUAUGAAUUUUAAUAUAUUAAAGACCCCGUUGGUGAACCAGGGGCAUUUUGGUAAUUAUGACCCGAGAAGGGUAAAAUGAUGAAAUUAAUUCAAUUACGUGCUUAAUAGAACUAUAUUAUUAUAUAGUAUGCAUGUGUUGUCUUUUUAGGUGUGUUCUGACAGGUUAGCGCGGUAUAGUCACAACCGGAAAUUUCGGGCCGAAUUGGGUUCGGGCCCGAAAUGUAAAUUGGAUUGAUUAUUUGGCAUUUUAUUUGAUAAAUGAUAAUCUGAAAUUUAUUUGAAAUUAAUUGAGUAUUGAAUGACUAUUUUACCCUUGUGAGGGUGUAUGUGGGUAUUUAAGCCCUAAGGGCAUUUUGGUCAUUUCACCCCUAAUUAUUAUGUUUGAUUAAAAUUGAUUUUUGAUGAAAUGAAAUGCAAUUUUCUGGUUUUGCUUUCCUCUUAGCCGACCCCCUCUCUCGCCCAAACCCUCUUGUUAUUUCAAGUUGAAUUUGAAGAAAAUUGGUGUGAAUUGGAGCUAAUUUUUAGAGCUUGAUUGUGGGGAUUAUUCUUGCUUAGUCUUGAGAUUGUGUGUGACUAGGAUUACCGGCACCUGGUCAGGAGCACCUGCGGAUUUAGAAUCUCUACUAUUGCGGGACAUCAGGAAAGGGUAAGUCAGUGGCUGAUCAACCAUGAGUUUCAGGAGUAGGGCGAAGAAUGUACAUGUUCAUGCCACUUCAGACCAAGCGGGUCAUGGGUCUAACAGUGUUGACUUUUGUUUUCUGUUUUGCCGCUUAGGUCGGCUAGUAAGAAAGAACUUGUAAUAAGUUUGUAAAUAUUUUUGGGAUCCCAACUAUUUUGAAAAGUUUAAAUAUAUUACAAGUUUAUUUUCA
Long non-coding RNA from Cannabis sativa, 1820 nucleotides. RefSeq lists it as uncharacterized. The record is from RefSeq and is a predicted model, not a curated record. NCBI's taxonomy places the organism in Eukaryota, Viridiplantae, Streptophyta, Magnoliopsida, Rosales, Cannabaceae. The transcript is spliced from 3 exons.